This 511-nucleotide ribosomal RNA is filed under the name uncultured bacterium. RNAcentral's name for it is "bacterial LSU rRNA". It matches the Rfam family "Bacterial large subunit ribosomal RNA", at positions 1521 to 2024 of the family's 2925-position model. The record is from RNAcentral.
UAGGCGUGCUCUUUAGGCAAAUCCGGAGAGCUUAGCUGAGGUGUGAUAACGAGUCUGCUUGCAGACGAAGUGAGUGAUACCCUGCUUCCAGGAAAAGCCACUAAGCUUCAGCUAUAGAUUGACCGUACCGCAAACCGACACUGGUGCGCGAGAUGAGUAUUCUAAGGCGCUUGAGAGAACUCUGGAGAAGGAACUCGGCAAAUUGACACCGUAACUUCGGAAGAAGGUGUGCCUUUAGUAGGUGAACCAUUUACUUGGGGAGCCCAAUGAGGUCGCAGAGAAUCGGUGGCUGCAACUGUUUAAUAAAAACACAGCACUCUGCAAAGACGAAAGUCGACGUAUAGGGUGUGACGCCUGCCCGGUGCUGGAAGAUUAAUUGAUGGGGUGCAAGCUCUUGAUCGAAGUCCCAGUAAACGGCGGCCGUAACAAUAACGGUCCUAAGGUAGCGAAAUUCCUUGUCGGGUAAGUUCCGACCUGCACGAAUGGCGUAAUGAUGGCCACACUGUCUCCU